UUCUAGGACUUUAUAGAGCAGAG
This 23-nucleotide microRNA is filed under the name Mus musculus (house mouse). Its description in RNAcentral is "mmu-miR-1929-5p". Lineage: Eukaryota; Metazoa; Chordata; Mammalia; Rodentia; Muridae. The record is from miRBase by way of RNAcentral.